RNAcentral lists this ribosomal RNA (429 nucleotides) under Verrucomicrobiota bacterium. RNAcentral describes it as "Verrucomicrobia bacterium partial 16S ribosomal RNA". It matches the Rfam family "Bacterial small subunit ribosomal RNA", at positions 355 to 776 of the family's 1533-position model. Lineage: Bacteria; Pseudomonadati; Verrucomicrobiota. The record is from RNAcentral.
UAGGGAAUCUUCGGCAAUGGGGGGAACCCUGACCGAGCAACGCCGCGUGAGUGAAGAAGGUUUUCGGAUCGUAAAGCUCUGUUGUUAAGGAAGAACGAGUGUGAGAAUGGAAAGUUCAUGCUGUGACGGUACUUAACCAGAAAGGGACGGCUAACUACGUGCCAGCAGCCGCGGUAAUACGUGGGUCCCGAGCGUUGUCCGGAUUUAUUGGGCGUAAAGCGAGCGCAGGCGGUUAGAAAAGCCUGAAGGGAAAGGCAGUGGCUCAACCAUUGUAGGCUUUGGAAACUGCUUAACGUGAGUGCAGAAGGGGGGAGGGGAAGUCCAUGGGUAGCGGUGAAAUGCGUAGAUAUAUGGAGGAACACCGGUGGCGAACGCGGCUCUCUGGUCUGUAACUGACGCUGAGGCUCGAAAGCGUGGGGAGCGAACAGG